RNAcentral lists this ribosomal RNA (942 nucleotides) under Triticum aestivum (bread wheat). RNAcentral's name for it is "partial small subunit ribosomal RNA". Lineage: Eukaryota; Viridiplantae; Streptophyta; Magnoliopsida; Poales; Poaceae. The record is from RNAcentral.
AUGGUUUCUUCAACCGUUGAUCCUGAUGCUGCUGGAUACGCUGAAAGAGCAAACAAAGCCAAGAAGCCAGUCAAGAUUAGUGCCCGAAGCCUUGCAAAGCCGGAAAGAAACGAGGUGAUGAAAGCUGCAGCAAAAGCUCGGGCAUCAUCCUCUAUUCUCCGACCAAUAGAUGCCCGCCAUGGCAAUGAAGCUGAUAUUAGCUCCAGUGGCAAUGCCAAUGUCAGGAGUAGCAUGAGUGUUGACUACAGUGCUACAAAGGAAUCGAGGAGUGAGAUGCUGCUGUUCCCUCUACGGAACUUGUAUCCGCAGAGUCUUGCCAGUUACGAUGACUAUGAGACUGGCACACAGACUGCAAACAGUUUAAACAGCCCGGUCCACAUCCACAAGUUUGCCCCUCAUGCUCAAUUUCGUGUAGCACCUCAUCCAGCUCCACCUCCUAAAAGGCCUGCGCUAGGGAUUACAAGGCCACAUGUUCCUGCCACACAUAUAAGUAACAACCCAAUGUUCCAGUCAGCCACAUCAUAUGUCAGGGAGAACCGAAGAGCCUCUGUUGUCUGGGAUCAAGAGGCUGGUCGGUACGUGUCAGUGCCCAUGCAAACAACAAGAACAGGGCCCGGUGUUGAGCUGCCUGCAAGAAACCCAAGUUUCUUGGUGAAUCCAAGUGGUGAACCAGGCAACCAUGGGAGAAAUCUUGCACCUGCCAACACAACUUCAUCAGCGAUUCCUUCGGGGCAGCUGUCCGAGAGGUUGACGUACACAGGCCAAUCAAUAUUCUUUGGCGGGCCAAUCCUGAGCACCACUGGCAUAAAUGAAGAAAGGAAUGAGGCGGGCACAAGAGUGCGUCCUGAGACAAGCAGAGAUCCCAACUCCCACCAGCGUGACAUCCGUGGUGAGAAGGCUCGGACAGGCUCCUUCCCGUUGUAUGAGCCUAGGAAUUUCUAG